UAUAUUAACAUUUGUCAAUUAUUUACUAUCUACAGUACAUGUCGUCUCAUCAUUCUGGUUACAUCAUCACGAUAAACAAUUAAGUCAUUUCUAGGAAGAUUUAACCCAUGUGUUUGGAUAAAUAUGUUCUUAUCUUAACUUACAUUUACAUAGCGCCUUUAUCAUAGGCACUUUGCAAGGGUUAUGGGUGCUACAUUAAGGGUAGCGAAAUGUGAUACGGUGAAUAGGGAUGGGUAUGGCGAGGGAGGUUAGAGGUGUACGGGGAUUACGGGGGAUACCGAGGAAUGGAGGAAACGAUGGGCCAGGGAGAAGAGGUGGGUCUUGAGGGAGUAGCGGAGACUAGACAGGGAGGGUGCUUGCUAAAUAAUGUGGAGGGGAAGUUUAUUCCAGUGCAAGGGGCAAAGAGGGAAAAGGUGCAGAAGCAGUGAUUUUGCACAAAGAGAGGGUGGGAACGGUUAGGAGUGGGAAAUAUUGAGAGCGGAGCGGGCGGGAGGGGACAUCAUACGAGACGAGAGAAGCAAGGGACGGUGGGGCAAGGUCGUGCUGAGUUUGUUAAAAGUGUUAUUUCCCUGUCACUGGUGUUUUAAUCAUCGUCUGGAUUUUUACUGAUUUUAUCGUUAAAAUAUUAUCAUACACUUAUACACGUCCUUUAUUUAACCUGCCGCAAGAGAGAGUACGUUAACCACAGUUGUGUAGAAAUUAUUGUUUCUAAAAUCUUGCAUUUUUUUAUGUUAGAUUGGGAAAAUAAACUCAAAACCAAUUAUAAAUAGUUUCACAUCAGGCUCGAUCCACUCUGUGGCAGAACACUUAAAUCACAAUUGGAAGGACAUGAAGUAAAUUCCUGAUCGGGGGUCAACUGGGCCUAUAAUGCUUACAUGAUUAAUAAACUUAGUAUCCCUUUGGAGAAAGUCAGCAACGGUUUUUGGUGGGAUGUUGCCGUGGAGUAAUGUUUAGCAUUCAGGAUUUUCAAUUCAGAGGUCACCGGAUCGAUCUCACAGAGCAGCAGUUCAAACAAUGGGACAAGUUUCUGAAUCCACCCCAACGCAGCAGUCAGUCAAUCGGCAGGUCUCCGUUUAAGUACUCCCGCCUCUUGCAAGAAGCCAGCCUGGUUAGCAUAGAACGGUAGACGGAAUAUCUCCAACAGCUUCAACUUGUGCAGUACCUUCUUCCAGCAGUGGAACAAGCUCGGCAUUCCAGGUGCGUGACGUCAUUUAUGGACGGCCCCUAAGAUCUUCCAUCGAGUGGCAAAACCGGGCGGCGAAGAUGGAGCGGGUCCCUAGAAGAACAGCCACGUGGUCGAAGACGAAGAUGAUGGUGAGCAGCGACGCACUCAGGACACAGACCCCACGCUAUUAGCCCCGAACCAAGGGUUCGGUGCUCCUUAUAUCUCGCUCGGCGUAGCCGAGCUUCACCUCUGGCCACGCCCCCUUUCUAGAACCUGCUAGACCAUUCGGGAUGGUUCCCAGAGCGUCUCGACUGACACCGCCCUUGACCCUUUCAUCAGAUAUGCCCCUUUAAGAAAAGGCAUUAUGUAAUGGCACUAUAACUGUAAUUACCCUUACAG
Petromyzon marinus (sea lamprey) is the source of this 1564-nucleotide long non-coding RNA. RefSeq lists it as uncharacterized. Lineage: Eukaryota; Metazoa; Chordata; Hyperoartia; Petromyzontiformes; Petromyzontidae. The record is from RefSeq and is a predicted model, not a curated record.